Molecule: ribosomal RNA, 467 nt
Filed under: uncultured bacterium
Lineage: Bacteria
Description: partial 16S ribosomal RNA
Rfam family: Bacterial small subunit ribosomal RNA
Source: RNAcentral
ACGAACGCUGGCGGCGUGCUUAACACAUGCAAGUCGAACGGAAAGACCCUGCUUUUGUGGGGUGCUCGAGUGGCGAACGGGUGAGUAACACGUGAGUAACCUGCCCUUGACUUUGGGAUAACUUCAGGAAACUGGGGCUAAUACCGGAUAGGAGCUCCUGCUGCAUGGUGGGGGUUGGAAAGUUUCGGCGGUUGGGGAUGGACUCGCGGCUUAUCAGCUUGUUGGUGGGGUAGUGGCUUACCAAGGCUUUGACGGGUAGCCGGCCUGAGAGGGUGACCGGCCACAUUGGGACUGAGAUACGGCCCAGACUCCUACGGGAGGCAGCAGUGGGGAAUAUUGCACAAUGGGCGGAAGCCUGAUGCAGCAACGCCGCGUGCGGGAUGACGGCCUUCGGGUUGUAAACCGCUUUCGCCUGUGACGAAGCGUGAGUGACGGUAAUGGGUAAAGAAGCACCGGCUAACCACGUG